RNAcentral lists this transfer RNA (72 nucleotides) under Nippostrongylus brasiliensis. It matches the Rfam family "tRNA". Rfam says of the family: Transfer RNA (tRNA) molecules are approximately 80 nucleotides in length. The record is from Rfam by way of RNAcentral. Lineage: Eukaryota; Metazoa; Nematoda; Chromadorea; Rhabditida; Heligmosomidae.
GUCUCAGUAGCAUAGUGGUUAGUGCACGGCCCCGGAAAGGUUGAGACGCGGGUUCGAAUCCCGCCACAGAUG